This 584-nucleotide ribosomal RNA is filed under the name uncultured bacterium. RNAcentral's name for it is "partial 16S ribosomal RNA". It matches the Rfam family "Bacterial small subunit ribosomal RNA", at positions 355 to 1375 of the family's 1533-position model. The record is from RNAcentral.
UGGGGAAUUUUGGACAAUGGGCGAAAGCCUGAUCCAGCAAUGCCGCGUGUGUGAAGAAGGCCUUCGGGUUGUAAAGCACUUUUGUCCGGAAAGAAAUCCUUGGCUCUAAUACAGUCGGGGGAUGACGGUACCGGAAGAAUAAGCACCGGCUAACUACGUGCCAGCAGCCGCGGUAAUACGUAGGGUGCAAGCGUUAAUCGGAAUUACUGGGGCGUAAAGCGUGCGCAGGCGGUUUGCUAAGACCGAUGUGAAAUCCCGGGCUCAACCUGGACUGCAUUGGUGACUGGCAGGCUAGAGUAUGGCAGAGGGGGGUAGAAUUCCACGUGUAGCAGUGAAAUGCGUAGAGAUGUGGAGGAAUACCGAUGGCGAAGGCAGCCCCCUGGGCCAAUACUGACGCUCAUGCACGAAAGCGUGGGGGAGCAAACAGGAUUAGAUACCCCUGGUAGUCCACGCCCUAAACGAUGUCAACUAGUUGUUGGGGAUUCAUUCCUUAGUAACGUAGCUAACGCGUGAAGUUGACCGCCUGGGGAGUACGGUCGCAAGAUUAAAACUCAAAGGAAUUGACGGGGUCAUAGCUGUUUCCU